GAGGAAGCCGGUGGAACUCCGGCACGGUCCCGCCACUGUGAGCACGGCAGCAGCACAACGCACCACGCCGCCGAGCGAGUCAGGAACUC
This 89-nucleotide non-coding RNA is filed under the name Streptomyces mobaraensis. Lineage: Bacteria; Bacillati; Actinomycetota; Actinomycetes; Kitasatosporales; Streptomycetaceae. The record is from RNAcentral.